RNAcentral lists this ribosomal RNA (274 nucleotides) under uncultured bacterium. Its description in RNAcentral is "partial 16S ribosomal RNA". It matches the Rfam family "Bacterial small subunit ribosomal RNA", at positions 523 to 796 of the family's 1533-position model. The record is from RNAcentral.
AUACGGAGGGGGCUAGCGUUGUUCGGAAUUACUGGGCGUAAAGCGCGUGUAGGCGGAUCGUUAAGUCAGGGGUGAAAGCCCGGGGCUCAACCCCGGAACUGCCCUUGAUACUGGCGAUCUAGAGUCCGGAAGAGGUGGGCGGAAUUCCCGGUGUAGAGGUGAAAUUCGUAGAUAUCGGGAGGAACACCAGUGGCGAAGGCGGCUCACUGGUCCGGCACUGACGCUGAGACGCGAAAGCGUGGGGAGCAAACAGGAUUAGAAACCCUUGUAGUCC